GGACGAACGCUGGCGGCGUGCUUAACACAUGCAAGUCGAGCGGUAAGGCCCUUUCGGGGGUACACGAGCGGCGAACGGGUGAGUAACACGUGGGUGACCUGCCCUCAGCUCUGGGAUAGGCCUGGGAAACCGGGUCUAAUACUGGAUAUGACUCCAUGACGCAUGUUGUGGGGUGGAAAGCCUUGUGCGGCUGAGGAUGGGUCCCGCGGCCUAUCAGCUUGUUGGUGGGGUGAUGGCCUACCAAGGCGACGACGGUAGCCGGCCUGAGAGGGCGACCGGCCACACUGGGACUGAGACACGGCCCAGACUCCUACGGGAGGCAGCAGUGGGGAACCUUGCGCAAUGGGCG
RNAcentral lists this ribosomal RNA (349 nucleotides) under uncultured bacterium. RNAcentral's name for it is "bacterial SSU rRNA". It matches the Rfam family "Bacterial small subunit ribosomal RNA", at positions 27 to 377 of the family's 1533-position model. The record is from RNAcentral.